AGAAGUUGAGCAGCAUGGUGACUCCAACAAGCAAGCAUCUGUUGUUGUGCAGAAGCCCCUGCUGUUCAACUUACACAGUCCUUUGUUUGAAGAACUUACAUUCUCUUUUCAUUCAAAGGACUUUUUUGGUGCUUAUUUGUGAACUGCUGGUGACAAGAGAGGCAUUUAAGGGGAGAAACCUGAGAAGAUUCAAAGAAAGGGGUGUGAUGGACAUUCUACUGUGGGGUUAGCUCGUUAUCACACAGCUUCCACUCAUCUCUGUCUCUCCAAAAAGGACUGGUUUGCUAUGUUUUUUUUUUUUAUUUUAUUUUAAAUAACACUUUGGGACUCUUGAGUGAGGCCUCAGGCUCACAUGGACUCAAUUAGACUUUUUUUCUUUUUUCUUCUUUUUGUAUUUGUGUGUGUUGGCUGUGUUGUGGAACUGAGGUUGUGGGUUAAAUGGAUGUUUCUUAUGUCUGUGUAGAGGUGGGGUUGUCUGAUUUACAUUGCAUGUUCACCAUUUCAUCAUUUCAAUAACACCAGAAAAAGGUACACCA
Molecule: long non-coding RNA, 536 nt
Organism: Colossoma macropomum (tambaqui)
Lineage: Eukaryota; Metazoa; Chordata; Actinopteri; Characiformes; Serrasalmidae
Exons: 2
Source: RefSeq, a predicted model, not a curated record